Bos indicus x Bos taurus (hybrid cattle) is the source of this 1265-nucleotide long non-coding RNA. The record is from Ensembl. Lineage: Eukaryota; Metazoa; Chordata; Mammalia; Artiodactyla; Bovidae.
AAGAGGUCAAGAGGGCCCCCUCCUCCCUUGAGCCCAGCAGACUUGGCUCUCUGUCUCUAGGGCCAGCAUCGCCUCCAGGUCCCCCAGUGUCUGUGCGGAGAGGGUCUGUCAGCAGCUCAAAUGCCUUUCACACUGAUGGAAACCUGGCCCCUUAGCUGGACAGAGUCCAGUGUCCAGGAGUGACUGGGCUGGCAAGGGGCUCCUCCAAAGAUAAAAUUGUUUCCCAACUGCUUCCUGUGGGAGUCUUGGAAGGAGUCCUUGGUUUGAGGUGGGGAAGAUGGAACCAGGAAGUGAGAUCGGGCAAUCACGGAAGGCCCCUCAGUCAGGUGAUGGAGCUCGACUCUGGGAGAAAACGAGGUGGAUUCUUUACCAGCUGAGCCACAAGGGUAGCCUACUCCAGCAGAUCCCUUCUCUAGCAAAUCUUCCCAACCUGGGAAUUGAACUGGUCUCUCCUGCAUUGCAGGCAGAUUCUUUACCAGCUGACCUACCAGGGAAGCCCUUGUAUGCUGCUGCUGCUGCUGCUAAGUCGCUUUAGUCGUGACUGACUCUGUGCGACCCCAUAGACAGCAGCCCACCAGGCUCCGCCAUCCCUGGGAUUCUCCAGGCAAGAGUACUGGAGUGGGAUGCCAUUGCCUUCUCCAAGCCCUUGUAUGAAUGACACCAAAAGAUUAGAAAUAAGUGCAAGUCGUGAAAAGUGAAAGUGUUAGUCGCUCAGUCAUGCCCAUGUCUUUGUGACCCCAUGGAUUGUAGCCCACCUAGCCCCUCUGUCCAUGGAAUUCUCCAGGCAAGAAUCCCGGAAUGGGUUGCCAUUCUCUUCUCCAGGGGAUCUUCCCAACCCAGGGAUCGAACCCGGGUCUCCUGAAUUGCAGGCAGAUUCUUUACCAUCUGAGCCACCAGGGAAGCUUUGGAAGGAGAGGAAAAAAGAAAUCAAGAGAAAGUGAAAGUUGGGGAGGCCCAAGAAAAGAUCUGGAGUGGGGAUUGGGGUGGGGCGGUCCCCACAGCUCAGGGGUGACAUAGAGUAGGUUGGGAACCAUGAUCACCUGGAAUUGAGGGUGUAACUCCACGGACGGACACUUUCAGCCUCCUGUCUUGGCUCUCCCUUGGCCUGACGUUCCCCCUGUCCUUGCAUGAGUGAGUCCCAACAUUUUGUCAAGAUUGAAUUCAGAUGCCUGCUUCUCCAGGAAGCCUACCCUCCUCCCAGCCCUGAGGCUUCUGGCCUGACCCUAAGGGCCUGUGCACCCAGCGUUAGUGAGCAUGUCAGGGCU